GACGAACGCUGGCGGCGUGCUUAACACAUGCAAGUCGAACGGUGAAGCGCCUUCCUUUUUGGUGGGUGUGGAUGAGUGGCGAACGGGUGAGUAACACGUGAGUAACCUGCCCCCUUCUUCUGGAUAACCGCAUGAAAGUGUGGCUAAUACGGGAUAUUCUGGGUCUGUCGCAUGAUGGGUCUGGGAAAGAUAUUGUUUCGGUGGGGGAUGGGCUCGCGGCUUAUCAGCUUGUUGGUGGGGUGAUGGCCUACCAAGGCGGUGACGGGUAGCCGGCCUGAGAGGGUGGACGGUCACACUGGGACUGAGACACGGACCAGACUCCUACGGGAGGCAGCAGUGGGGAAUAUUGCACAAUGGGCGCAAGCCUGAUGCAGCGACGCCGCGUGAGGGAUGGAGGCCUGCGGGUUGUGAACCUCUUUCGCCAGUGAAGCAGGCCUGCCUCGUUUGUGGGUGGGUUGACGGUAGCUGGAUAAGAAGCGCCGGCUAACUACGUG
This 494-nucleotide ribosomal RNA is filed under the name uncultured bacterium. RNAcentral describes it as "partial 16S ribosomal RNA". It matches the Rfam family "Bacterial small subunit ribosomal RNA", at positions 28 to 507 of the family's 1533-position model. The record is from RNAcentral.